CUAAUGCCGGAUAUUGUGUCCUACUGCAUAGUAGGUUAACGAAAGAUUUAUCGUUGUGGGAUGAGCUUGCGUCCGAUUAGCUAGUUGGCGGGGUAGUAGCCCACCAAGGCGACGAUCGGUAGCCGGCCUGAGAGGGUGAUCGGCCACAUUGGGACUGAGAUACGGCCCAGACUCCUACGGGAGGCAGCAGUAGGGAAUAUUGCGCAAUGGGGGGAACCCUGACGCAGCAACGCCACGUGUGGGAAGAAGCAUUUCGGUGUGUAAACCACUGUCGGAAAGGAAUAACGGAAGACUUCGGUCUUUAUGAAUGUACUUUUAGAGGAAGCACCGGCAAACUUCGUGCCAGCAGCCGCGGUAAUACGAGGGGUGCAAGCGUUGUUCGGAAUCACUGGGCGUAAAGGGAGCGUAGGCGGAAGUGCAAGCAAUCUGUAUAAUCCUGGGGCCCAACCCCAGUUCUGCAGAUUGGACUGUAUUUCUUGAAUAGUUCAGAGGCAAGCGGAAUUUCUGGUGUAGCGGUGGAAUGCGUAGAGAUCAGAAAGAACACCAAUGGCGAAGGCAGCUUGCUGGGGACUUAUUGACGCUGAGGCUCGAAAGUGUGGGUAGCAAACAGGAUUAGAUACCCUGGUAGUCCACACUGUAAACGAUGCAUACUGGGUGUCCGAAAUUCGUUUCGGGUACCGUAGCUAACGCGUUAAGUAUGCCGCCUGGGGAGUACGUACGCAAGUAUGAAACUCAAAGGAAUUGACGGGGGCCCGCACAAGCGGUGGAGCAUGUGGGUUUAAUUCGAAGCAACGCGCAGAACCUUACCAGGG
Molecule: ribosomal RNA, 812 nt
Filed under: uncultured Fibrobacter sp.
Lineage: Bacteria; Pseudomonadati; Fibrobacterota; Fibrobacteria; Fibrobacterales; Fibrobacteraceae
Description: bacterial SSU rRNA
Rfam family: Bacterial small subunit ribosomal RNA
Source: RNAcentral